UAAUAUGUCUUUCUUUUAAUUUUUUUUCAGCAAGAUCUAUGUACGUUCUUGAUAUCAAGAGCCUGUAAGAACUCAACACUGGCUAAUUAUUUAUACUGGUACGUGAAAAUAAUUUGGUUUUGUAUCACCCCUUUGAACUAUAUUUCCUAUGCUGUAAGCACAGAUGAUUUAAGAUGAAGGCCACCUCCAAGUGCCUAGGUGCCGUGCUCCUGCCUCCCGUCUCCUAGCUGUGUUCACAGAAGUCAGUGCAAUCGUAGUCUUUCUAACGCUAAGUUUUCAAGAGCUAAGAUGCAAAUGACUAUGGUGGCCCCCAUCUCCCUCGGUGGGUCUGCUUUCCUUUCCUGCUACUUAAGUAGUAUAUAACACUUUAUAACUUUUCAAGAGUGCAUUUUUACGUUAUUUACCAGACGACUAGAAUGCUACAAAAAUAGAAAAUUGAAAUUAAAAAUUACCUUCUCUCAUUUUAAACAUGAGGAGGCUGAGGCAGAAGGAUGCUCUAACUGAACUUGGCAGGCAUUGGUUAGGAUAGACACUGCCAUUUCUAGAGGAGUCCAAGCAACCAUUUCCUCUCUUCCCUGUGUAGUUAGUUAUAGGAGACAAGGAUAACCAUGAUGGUUUACAUGAAAACAAUGAGGUACAGAGAGCCUCCUUUCUGUACCAAGGUAGUAGGAAGUGUGGCCGUAUUGUUGAGGACAUUGACUGAGUGGCAGCGAUCCCUGGGCUUGUGUACUGACGUGUGAGUCCUGAUCACGUUUACAGAGGAUCUUAGGGCGCAGCCUCUUGGGUGAGCCUUCUGGAAACCUGAGCUGUUAACUAUAGAGAUGAUCUCUGACUUUGUCUUAUACUUAAUGUGUGGUCUUAACUUAAAUGGCGCAAAUUAAUAGAUGUUCCAUCUAAAAAUUCCUUAUUUUUUAAGAAUCAUAAGACUUGCUGUUCUUAAGGAACUGAAAAUGCCGUCUUAUUUCAGCCUGGGUCUGAAGAGCCUGAUGUUUUAGCUUGAAUGAAACUUCAGCCCAUUCUCCCUUUCUCAAAAAGAAAUGGAAUCUGAGCCCUCGUAAAGAGCACAGAGGCCCGGUCUGCAGAAGCAACGUUGUCUAAGCCUUUAUGGUGUUUUCCUACCAUAUUGAUAUCAAUUAUUUUAAUGGCAUCAGUCAUUUUCUCCACUGUACCUGUGAGUUUUCCACACGCCCAAUGGCUGAGCUGCUAGAAGCGAAAUAUCUCUAUGUAUCUACUUCAGCAGUUGAAUGUAAUAUUCAUAAAACUCUAUUCCCCUCACAUGAAGCGUUGGGAUGCCCUUGAACAUGCAUUGCAGAACACUGUGGUUGGUUUUAAGUACCAGUUUUCCUUCUAAGAGUUCACUUACAAAUUCUCAUCUUGCCAAAUUGCUAUUUUGAUUUAAUAGAAACCUACGGUUAAUGGUUUUGCAUUCCUAUCUGAAUUAUUUAGUGUGCUUCUGUUCGCACCAUUAU
RNAcentral lists this long non-coding RNA (1469 nucleotides) under Mus musculus (house mouse). RNAcentral's name for it is "long non-coding RNA chr18:30304944-30306413". The record is from RNAcentral. Lineage: Eukaryota; Metazoa; Chordata; Mammalia; Rodentia; Muridae.